RNAcentral lists this ribosomal RNA (426 nucleotides) under uncultured bacterium. Its description in RNAcentral is "partial 16S ribosomal RNA". It matches the Rfam family "Bacterial small subunit ribosomal RNA", at positions 354 to 796 of the family's 1533-position model. The record is from RNAcentral.
GUGAGGAAUUUUCCGCAAUGGGCGAAAUCCUGACGGAGCAAUGCCGCGUGAAGGAUGAAGGCCUAUGGGUUGUAAACUUCUUUUCUCAGAAAAGAAUUAUGACGGUAUCUGAGGAAUAAGCAUCGGCUAACUCUGUGCCAGCAGCCGCGGUAAGACAGAGGAUGCAAGCGUUAUCCGGAAUGAUUGGGCGUAAAGCGUCUGUAGGUUGUUUAAAAAGUAUUCUGUCAAAGAUUAGGGCUUAACCCUAGAUAGGCAGAAUAAACUUUUAAGCUAGAGUUUGGUAGAGGCAGAGGGAAUUCCCGGUGGAGCGGUGAAAUGCGUAGAUAUCGGGAGGAACACCAAAGGCGAAGGCACUCUGCUGGGCCAAUACUAACACUGAGAGACGAAAGCGAGGGGAGCAAAUGGGAUUAGAUACCCCAGUAGUCC